Long non-coding RNA from Lolium perenne, 1641 nucleotides. RefSeq lists it as uncharacterized. The record is from RefSeq and is a predicted model, not a curated record. NCBI's taxonomy places the organism in Eukaryota, Viridiplantae, Streptophyta, Magnoliopsida, Poales, Poaceae.
UCUCGGCAGCGAACGGGAAGAGGGGGAGGAUGGAAGAAGGGCGCGUGGAUGGCAGCAGCGGCGAAAACCGUGGACGCGACCUAGCAAAUCCUCGCGCCUCCACGCAAAUUCACCCCUCCGCCCUGACCUGGUCCUCUUCUCCCCUUCCACGUCGACAGAGGGCUCCGAUAGAGGACGACUGCAGGUCGCUGAGGCAAAGCACAAAUGACGGCCACGACUCUGUGUUGUUGGCGGCCGCGCUCCGGAUCUGGGCAGGGAGGGCCCGAGCAUAAUUGCCAGGCAGUGAGGCAACCGCCGGCGACGGCCAUGGCUCCAGGUUGUUCAUGACCACCAUCGGCAUCCACGCUCCGGAUCUGGGCAGGGAGGGACCGAUAUGGGGUUGGAGAUUUGGGCCCAUGGCGUGGCGGCGUGUCCUCUCCAUGGGUUUCAAAAAUUCGAGUACAUGAAUUCUCUGCAAGCACUAUGCAUUAUGUGGAUUUUUAUCUUAGGUACAUUUUUCUUUCCAACAAAGGUACACACAUAUUUCUUCAUGGAUCCAACUACAUGAACAUGGAGGAAGUUGAUCAUACAGUCAUCAUAGUUUACUGAACUGGGCUAUGUUCUUGUUGGGAGACAUAUUGAGGAUAAAGGAAAAGGUAGAUCACGAUGACGAGCACGGCGAGCUGCGGAGGAACAUGGCAAGCUACGACGAAGCACGGCGAGCUGCAGAGAAGCAUGGCGUGCUACCGAGGAGCAAUGACGUCUCAGACAUGUUCGCAGGAGCUCCACAAGUUCCGGGCGGAUGGAGGCAGUGAGUGACUGGCGGCUGGGGAGGAGGAGCACGGGUGGGUGCGGCACCUGGCCGAGGCAGCGGCGUGCACCUGAUCACUUGAGGCGGAGAGGGCUUCAGCGCUGGAGGCGUGCACCUGCCCAGCUCGAGGUGGAGAUAGUGGGGUGUUCGCCCAACGUGGGGGUUUCAGCUUUAAAUAUUGGAAAUUAACCAUCACUUCGCUCAUCUUGGCAUUGUGCCAGAUUGAAAUCACCUCACCCGAAGUUGCGCCUCAGCUCAACAUUGCCACGCCUGAAUAUCUGCUCCAGCUCGGCAGUGGAAACACAGCAGCUGCUCGACGGCACACACUCAGUUCAAGAUACACCGGGUGAAACAAGAAAUUGGGGAUGAACUCCGCAACAGGAGGAACACAUAAUGUCAGCUUGCAGAUUUUGAAUGUUGUCAGCACUGGGAGUGGCAUCAACAUAUAUUUGGAGAGGCCAAUUUGGUCACCUUCUGGUGCUUAUAACAAUUAUGCUAGCUCCGAGACUGACACCAAGCAAAGUCACGCCGUCAACAAACAUGAUCUGGAUGGAUCUUUUGUUAUUGGUUGUCAAGAUUCAAAUGCUAAUGACUUACUUCCCUAGAAAAUUAUUCCUGGAAAAGGAAGUGAAGUUUUAGAGUAAGCAUAGCUAAGGAGUUGUGCAGGACAUAGGAUAGUACCAGGAAUAGUACCUUCAAGUUGAUUGAGAAACCAGAUGUAUAGGGCCAUAAAUAUUCUAAUGGCGAUUGCAUUGUUUGUAAUUUAAAUAUACAACCAUUCAAAGGAAUGUAUUGUGCAUGCAAAGGUAGUCUCAUGAAUUUGUUUAUUCAAGCACAUUUAUUUUAUUACA